AUUGAACGCUGGCGGCAUGCCUAACACAUGCAAGUCGAACGGAGAUAGGGGCAACCUUAUUUCAGUGGCGGACGGGUGAGGAAUGCGUCGGAAUCUGCCCUAUGGUGGGGGAUAACACAGGGAAACUUGUGCUAAUACCGCAUAAUGUCGAGAGACCAAAGCAGGGGACCGCAAGGCCUUGCGCGAUAGGAUGAGCCGACGCCCGAUUAGCUUGUUGGUAGGGUAAUGGCCUACCAAGGCGACGAUCGGUAGCUGGUCUGAGAGGAUGAUCAGCCACACUGGGACUGAGACACGGCCCAGACUCCUACGGGAGGCAGCAGUAGGGAAUAUUGGACAAUGGGCGGAAGCCUGAUCCAGCCAUCCCGCGUGUAGGAAUAAGGCCCUAUGGGUUGUAAACUACUUUUAUUAGGGAAGAAAAACUUUGAUUUAUCAGAGCUUGACGGUACCUAAGGAAUAAGCACCGGCUAACUCCGUGCCAGCAGCCGCGGU
RNAcentral lists this ribosomal RNA (489 nucleotides) under uncultured bacterium. Its description in RNAcentral is "bacterial SSU rRNA". It matches the Rfam family "Bacterial small subunit ribosomal RNA", at positions 30 to 521 of the family's 1533-position model. The record is from RNAcentral.